This 112-nucleotide microRNA precursor is filed under the name Hordeum vulgare. RNAcentral describes it as "microRNA MIR1122". It matches the Rfam family "MIR1120/MIR1122 microRNA precursor family". The record is from RNAcentral. Lineage: Eukaryota; Viridiplantae; Streptophyta; Magnoliopsida; Poales; Poaceae.
AUGGUACUCCCUCCGUUUCAAAAUAAGUGACUCAAAAAUGACUCAACUUUGUAUUAAAGUAUAAAGUUGAGUCAUUUUUGAGUCACUUAUUUUGGGACGGAGGGAGUACUAU